RNAcentral lists this ribosomal RNA (253 nucleotides) under uncultured bacterium. RNAcentral's name for it is "partial 16S ribosomal RNA". It matches the Rfam family "Bacterial small subunit ribosomal RNA", at positions 524 to 776 of the family's 1533-position model. The record is from RNAcentral.
GACGUAGGGCGCGAGCGUUGUCCGGAUUUAUUGGGCGUAAAGAGCUCGUAGGCGGUCUGUCACGUCGGAUGUGAAAAUCCAGGGCUUAACCCUGGACCUGCAUUCGAUACGGGCAGACUAGAGUUCGGUAGGGGAGACUGGAAUUCCUGGUGUAGCGGUGAAAUGCGCAGAUAUCAGGAGGAACACCGGUGGCGAAGGCGGGUCUCUGGGCCGAUAUUGACGCUGAGGAGCGAAAGCGUGGGGAGCGAACAGG